GCACCUGACAAAUCACAGUGACUCAAGGGUAUGGUGAGACGCACAAUCGCUGCCGUAGUCGGCGGUUCCCAACAGAGGCUCCCAGCGGGUGGAGGUCAGGACCGACUUCUGUUUCGCCUGCGCCGUCGACACGAUGCAGCCGAGCGCGGCAGCUAGCCCCGCGUUCAUUCCCCCUAACACCCCUGCAGGUAGGGUCAAGAUCAGCGCAUGCUGUUGUGAUUUGCAGACUUCUCAGAUCUUGACAGGGGCAUUAGAAAGCAAGCUGCUGUCUGUUCAAGGCAUGCAACAAGCAGUGGCAAGUCUAGUCUACUGUGGUGAGGAAAUAUUAUGUCUGUCAUUGCUAGAUGGCCCCAUUAUGGGGCCAAUUGGCCAGGACUGCCCUACAAGCUUUGCAUGUUAUGUGAUGCAGUGCCCAAUUCAAAGGUCAUCUCAGGCCUUCAAGGGAGUCCAAAUCAAUCAAAAAAGUUGAUGAAUGUUAGACUUGAUAGAUGUCAGAGUCCCCUGAGGCCUUAGAGUCCAGAGAGACUAAGACAAGAGCAUGCUAGAGACCCUGAGCCAUUUGGGAGACCCUUCCGAAUGUUCAAAAUGAAGGGGAAUCUUAGGGUCUUGCCUGCAGUCAGGUUGUUGGGGUCGAAUCCGAAGCCGCGCAGGGUGAGGCCGAUGGGCGCCAGACUGGCAUAUAGGGUUUGCUGCUCGGGGUUGCGCGGAGGGUUUAUCGCUGUUAUCGCCCCCAGAAGCUCCCAGAAGGCCGACGCAUUCU
Molecule: long non-coding RNA, 760 nt
Filed under: Coccomyxa subellipsoidea
Lineage: Eukaryota; Viridiplantae; Chlorophyta; Trebouxiophyceae; Coccomyxaceae
Description: long non-coding RNA (CSUB_LNC000085)
Source: RNAcentral